AAAAAUUUGACAAAUUAAGCCUGAGUUCUUCAAAAUUCGACUCAACUCCGCUCGAUUAGUUUACACUCUUACCUAAAAUCAAUAGUUCUAACUCAAAAAAUUCCAAAUCUUAUUCUUAAAGUCUUAAAUGAAAAUUUUGAUAAGAAGCCCAAAGAGUAACCUGAACAACUACAACCUUCCCAUUAAAUUUUUAACAUCACACAAAGAAGUUUUAAUUUUUAAAGAAAAUGAAUAACCGGAAUGAAGGCUAGUUUGCUGGAUUAUUCCCAUCGAAGUAUGUCAUCUUUGUUCAGAUUCAGAAACCGGAUUGUUUCUUCCAGACUUUUACGUCCUUCCAGAACUUCAAGUAUCCGACUCAUUGGUGGCCUACGUUGUGGAUCAUCAUGCACACAAGCUAAAACACAAGCAACCAUUUGAUCCAUUUGUUUAGGGUCAUAGUACCCCUGUAAUUCCUCAUCGACAAAAUUGGACAUGUCCUUGCCUUCGAACAAACUUUUUGAGAGCAUAGGCUUAGCCUAAAUAUUAAUACAUGAAAUUAAAGGAUUGUUAUACUAGUUGAGCUCUAAACAGAGCUCUUCUUUUCGUCAAAGUGAUAAAAAAAAAAAUGAAUAAAAAAUGAUUUGUAAAACGGAAAUAGGUUCAAUUUUUCUUAUGACCAAUAUUCUUACGUAGAUUGCGAUUUUAGACUUUGAUUAGUUGAGAAACAACUACGUACCCAUUUAACCAUGUUAGUGUGCCCACUGAAAUGACCAACAGGUUGUUUCCCGGUAAUCAACUCCAAAAGAAUUACACCAAAGGAAUAAAUGUCAAGCUUAUCAGUAAGCUUGUUGGUAGUUUGAUAUUCAGGAGCCAUGUAACCAGAAUUUAUCAUGACUUGGCUGAUGGAGAGAUGAGUUAAAGAAUCCGGGAAAAUCUUGGCACUUCCAAACUCUGCAAGCUUUGGUUCAAAUUUUUCAUCAAGAAAAACAUUAUCUGAUUUGACAUAUAGGUGUAAGAUCCUGGGUUUGCAGUCUUCAUGCAUAUAUUUCAAUCCUUCCGCUAAGCCUUCAGCUAUUUUCAUCCGUUUUGACCAGUCUAAAUCAGUUGAACUCCCAUUUCCAUGUAAAUGAGAUUUCAAAGAAUCGUCGGAAAUAAACUCAAAAACAAGCAAUCUAUUGUUUUCCUUGUCACUGCAGUAUCCAAUGAGCGUAAUAAUAUUUCGGUGACGAACAUGGUUAAUGGCUUCGAUCUCCUCCUCGAAUUCAUCUUUUCGCUGUUCUGACACGUGUUUAAUUCUCUUAAUUGCCACAUUUUGAUUAUUAUUAUCUGGAAGGACUCCCUUAUAGACUUCAAAAAAAUGAUCAUUCCGACGGAGGUGUUCGUUAGAGAAACUACUAGUUACACUUGCUAGUUCUUCAAAAGAAAAUGUCCGCAGCAAUGUAGGAGGCUUCAGUUCAUUUGGAUAUGGCCUCCGAGAUUGGUUAUCUUGCCGGGAAGUUUCGCCUUUUGCAAGCCAUAAGUUCUCAGGAGGCAUUUUUCCUUCAAGAACGAAUACUAUUUCUUUCAUUGUCGGUCGAGAUUUUGAAGGUUUAUACACACUAGCAGCAGCACAAUAAAUCAUUCGUUCCAUUUGACUUGGAUUAUAAUCUUUCUUUAAUUUAGAAUCAAUAAGAUCAGUAUAAUUGUCUUUGAUCAAAGGCUUCGCCCAUUUUACGAUACCUUCUCCAGCAAAAGGGUCUCUCCCAGUUAUUAACUCUAGAAGCACGACACCAAAAGAAUAAAUAUCUGAUUUUUUAGAAAGUUUUUGAGCAGGAUAUUCUUCUGGAUCUGCAUAUAUGUUAGUUCCCUUCCAUGUGGUGCUUAUGUGAGUAACACUGCCAGUUUCUGGAAAAAAUUUAGCGAGUCCAAAAUCUGCAAUCUUUGAUUCAAAGUUACUAUCAAUAAGAAUAUUAUCUGCCUUGAUAUCUCGAUGAAUAAUUGGAGGAGUACCUGAAGAUAUUUGUUUGAAGAGACUAAAAGCUUUCAAGGGAAAAUAGAUUAAUAAAACAAAAACACAGGAAAAAAAUUUUUAAAGUACAUCGAGUCUCAAGCCUCAAGAAGUGAAUGUACGAUUACUCACAGCCUUUAUGCAGAUAUUCUAAUCCUUUUGCAGAACUUAUGGCAAUUUUCAUUCUUUUUGACCACUCCAAAGUUGGUUGUUGAUUUCCAUGUAGAUGAAAUCUCAAGGAUUUGUUGGGAACAAACUCUAAAACAAGCAAUCUAUUGUAUUCGUCGCAGCAAUACCCAAUCAACCUAACAAGAUAUCGGUGACGCACAAUGCCAACGGCCAUAAUCUCCUUCUCGAAUUCUUCUUUCCCAGGUUUAUCUUUGUUGUAUGCAAGUUUCUUAAUAGCAACUUCGCGACUUUGAAGGUUUUCCCUAUUAUUUUUUUUGAAGGAAAGGGUUCCACUAAAGACCUCACCAAAACCACCACCGCCAAGGCGGUGGGCGUAGGAGAAACUUCCAGUUGCAUUUGCUAGAACUGUAAACUCAAAUUCCUUCGGCCCAUGUGGAUUGUCCUCCUUAGGUGCAAGCGCGUUAUACGGUGACGAAUCUUGCUGGGAAUUAACAAACCAUAAUUCCUUUGUGGACUUUUGUCCUUCAAGAACUUCAACUAUCUGUUUCAUGUUUGGCCGGGAUUCUAACGGUUUAUAUAUGCUAAUAACAGCACAAUGAAUCAUUCGCCCCAUUUCACUUGCAUUAUAGUGCCCUUUCAAUGUGGAAUCAAUGAGACGAGCAUAAUCGUCUUCGACCAAAUCUUCUCCUUUAUUCAUUAGAGCCUUCGCCUUCUUGAUGUCUUUAUUUUGAACUUUUUUCCCCGUAAUCAGCUCUAGAAGCACAAUACCAAAGAAAUAAACAUCUGACUUCUCACAGACCUUUUGAACAGGAUGAUUUUUAUAAUCAAUUUUUGAAUAAAACUUGGCAAGUCCAAAUUCUGCAACCUUCGGUUUAAAACUAUCGUCAAGAAGAAUAUUAGCUGCCUUGAUGUCUCCGUGAAUGAUUUUGGGGCUACAUUCUUUAUGUAGAUAUGCCAAUCCUUUUGCAGUGUCUAUGGCGAUUUUCAUUCUUACUGACCAAUUCAAAUUUGAUGGUCUUUUUUCAUCAUAUAGAUAAUCUUUCAACGAUUUGUUGGGAAAAUACUCUGAAACAAGCAAUCUGUUGAAUGAAUCAAUGCAGUACCCAAUCAGGCUAACUACAUUUUCGUGACGUAGAGUGCCAAAUGCGUUAAUGAACUCCUUGAAUUCCUUUUCCCACUGUUUGUCCAUAAUUUCAAGCUUCUCAAUAGCAAUAACUUCACCAGCUGGAAGGGAUCCCUUGAAGUGCUCGCCGAAACUUCCCUUGCCAAGGAAGUUCCGCAUGGAGAAAUAUCCAGUUGCCUUCCCUAGUUCUUCAUAUUCAUAUUCUUUUAGCCCAUUUGCUUUGGCAUCCUUACGUACAGGUGCGUGACUUUCCUCCUCAUUGGAUGGCAUAGCUCUGGCAGUGCUGCGGAUCUGCCUCAAUAGUAAAGUUGCAGGGUCCUACAGUUAUGCUACCACCACUGCAACAAAUGUCGGCGACAGUACCGUGGCCGGAGAGGUUUUGUAUGGUUUUAGAGUUCUUUACACUCCUACAGUUUUG
This 3636-nucleotide unclassified non-coding RNA is filed under the name Hevea brasiliensis (rubber tree). The record is from RNAcentral. Lineage: Eukaryota; Viridiplantae; Streptophyta; Magnoliopsida; Malpighiales; Euphorbiaceae.